Molecule: ribosomal RNA, 252 nt
Filed under: uncultured bacterium
Lineage: Bacteria
Description: partial 16S ribosomal RNA
Rfam family: Bacterial small subunit ribosomal RNA
Source: RNAcentral
UACGUAGGGUGCAAGCGUUGUCCGGAAUUAUUGGGCGUAAAGAGCUCGUAGGCGGUUUGUCGCGUCUGCUGUGAAAACUGGAGGCUCAACCUCCAGCCUGCAGUGGGUACGGGCAGACUAGAGUGCGGUAGGGGAGAUUGGAAUCCUGGUGUAGCGGUGGAAUGCGCAGAUAUCAGGAGGAACACCGAUGGCGAAGGCAGAUCUCUGGGCCGUAACUGACGCUGAGGAGCGAAAGCGUGGGGAGCGAACAGG